GACGAACGCUGGCGGCGUGCUUAACACAUGCAAGUCGAACGGAAAGGCCCUGCUUUUGUUGGGUGCUCGAGUGGCGAACGGGUGAGUAACACGUGAUUAACCUUCCCUUUACUUUGGGAUAACUUCAGGAAACUGGGGCUAAUACCGGAUAGUAGCUCCUGCUGCAUGGUGUGGGUUGGAAAGUUUCGGCGGUUGGGGAUGGACUCGCGGCUUAUCAGCUUGUUGGUGGGGUAGUGGCUUACCAAGGAUUUGACGGGUAGCCGGCCUGAGAGGGUGACCGGCCAAAGUGGGAAUGAGAUACGGACAAGACUCAAACGGGAGGAAGAAGUGGGAAAUAUUGCAAAAUGGGCGGAGGCCGGAUGCAGCAACGCCGGGUGCGGGAUGACGGCCUUCGGGUUGUAAACCGCUUGCGCAGGUGAAGAAGAGUGAGUGACGGUAAUGGGUAAAGAAGCACCGGCUAACUACGUG
Molecule: ribosomal RNA, 468 nt
Filed under: uncultured bacterium
Lineage: Bacteria
Description: partial 16S ribosomal RNA
Rfam family: Bacterial small subunit ribosomal RNA
Source: RNAcentral